GAAAUAACUUAUUGUGUAUGAUGUCAUGGGAAAAGGAAAAGAUAAAAUAUGGCUUACUGGAUAUUCCUCUUGUAAAAUACAGUUAUAUUUUAAUUGGUAAUAAAAAUAGGCUGUGUUGAAUUAAAUGCCAACAAAAAUGAGAACAGAUUGCUGGAUAAUGCAUCCACAAAAUAAAAUGGUGGAGCAUGCAAAGAAAAAUAAUUUACCUAAUACUAAUACUGGAAAAAGGAAUUUCUCAAAAGUAAUCCAUAGAAAUAAAGAAUAAUAAUAUAGUGUAAAUCUGUGUGCAUAAAAUAUAUACAUAUGUGAUUUCCAAAUGGCAACUCACAUAAUAUAGAGCGAAAUAAUAGUGGUGAAGCAAUUGGUGUCUUAAAAGUUCCACACAACCUUCUGGAUGAAUGAUAUUGAUGGAUGGUAACCUCAAAAAUAAAUUAAAAGAUCAGCCACUAAAGGUGCUUCCUGGUCUUUCACGCAGAUUAACUUCACAAAACGACGUGUACUUUUCAUGAAGACAUGUAGUUUCUUAAAAAUCCCCAUAUGAAAGCAUUAAUUCAAUGCUUUCUAUGGGAGAAGCCUAAUGUAAGUGUGUCGCUCGCCGUGCCUGUCCACUUGGUCGUACCCCCCCUCCUCCCAUUCUGAGGUUGGAGGAGGCGGAGAGCGACCUAGCGCUGAGGGACCUACAGUGUUAAGAAAACAGUUCCUUUAAGGACAAAAUAGCCAAAGUGCAAAAAGUCUCUAAACCAGCAAUGCUUUCAAUUUGGGCCUUUCAAUCAAAGAGGUGUAAUUCACUUUGACUUCUCAUUUUAAUAAAUAGUUAGUCAAACAAUGUCUUCCCAGCAAAGUGUAUCACUUCAUUUAAAUACAUUGGUGGAAAGAAGCAAUGGAGACGAGAUGAUGGUGGUUUAGUUACAUUAUAUGAUCAUACAUUGCAUAAGCCUGCCACAACGUCAAUGUACACCAUCUUUGGCAGGUCCUAUCCUUACAACCAACUGUUUACUAAAUGAGCACCAAAGUAACUGUUUAGUAGAUAAGGG
This is a non-coding RNA of Pelobates cultripes (western spadefoot toad), 1034 nucleotides long. Lineage: Eukaryota; Metazoa; Chordata; Amphibia; Anura; Pelobatidae. The record is from the annotation of a GenBank genome assembly.